Molecule: ribosomal RNA, 1134 nt
Filed under: Clostridium perfringens
Lineage: Bacteria; Bacillati; Bacillota; Clostridia; Eubacteriales; Clostridiaceae
Description: partial 23S ribosomal RNA
Rfam family: Bacterial large subunit ribosomal RNA
Source: RNAcentral
GUACGGAGCCGAAGGGAAACCGAGUCUGAAUAGGGCGACUAGUUGCAUGCCGUAGACCCGAAACCGGGUGACCUAUCCAUGGCCAGGUUGAAGCGAGGGUAAAACCUCGUGGAGGACCGAACCACGUUGCUGUUGAAAAAGCAUGGGAUGAGCUGUGGAUAGCGGAGAAAUUCCAAUCGAACCCGGAGAUAGCUGGUUCUCUCCGAAAUAGCUUUAGGGCUAGCGUCGAGUAUGAGUAGUGGAGGUAGAGCACUGAAUGGGCUAGGGGGCAUAGCGCUUACCGAACCUUAUCAAACUCCGAAUGCCACAUACUUUGAGCUCGGCAGUCAGACUACGAAUGAUAAGAUCCGUGGUCAAAAGGGAAACAGCCCAGAUCGUCAGCUAAGGUCCCAAAGUGUAAGUUAAGUGGGAAAGGAUGUGAGAUUUCUAAGACAACUAGGAUGUUGGCUUAGAAGCAGCCAUUCAUUAAAAGAGUGCGUAAUAGCUCACUAGUCGAGAGAUCUUGCGCCGAAAAUGUAACGGGGCUAAACUUACCACCGAAGCUACGGGCUUGAACUUAGUUCAAGCGGUAGGAGAGCGUCGUAACCGGGCUGAAGUCGUACCGUAAGGAGCGGUGGACUGGUUACGAGUGAGAAUGUUGGCAUCAGUAGCGAGAUGUGGGUGAGAAUCCCACAGGCCGAAAACCUAAGGUUUCCUCAGGAAGGUUCGUCCGCUGAGGGUUAGUCGGGACCUAAGCCGAGGCCGAAAGGCGUAGGUGAUGGACAACUGGUUGAUAUUCCAGUACCACUACCAUCGUUAUUAUCGAUGGCGUGACGCAGGAGGAUAGUGUGUGCUAGCUAUUGGAUGCUAGUCUAAGCGUUUAGGCAGUGAGAGUAGGCAAAUCCGCUCUCAUAAUGCUGAGGCGUGAUGGGGAAGGUUCUACGGAACUGAAGUACAUGAUUCCACGCUGCCAAGAAAAGCGUCUAGAGAGAGAAGUAGUGCCCGUACCGCAAACCGACACAGGUAGGUGAGGAGAGAAUCCUAAGGCCGGCGGAAGAAUUACAGUUAAGGAACUCGGCAAAUUGACCCCGUAAGUUCGCGAGAAGGGGUGCCUACGAGAGUAGGCCGCAGAGAAUAGGCCCAAGCAACUGUUUA